Molecule: ribosomal RNA, 434 nt
Filed under: Burkholderia sp. oral taxon C87
Lineage: Bacteria; Pseudomonadati; Pseudomonadota; Betaproteobacteria; Burkholderiales; Burkholderiaceae
Description: bacterial SSU rRNA
Rfam family: Bacterial small subunit ribosomal RNA
Source: RNAcentral
AUUGAACGCUGGCGGCAUGCCUUACACAUGCAAGUCGAACGGCAGCACGGGGGCAACCCUGGUGGCGAGUGGCGAACGGGUGAGUAAUACAUCGGAACGUGUCCUGUAGUGGGGGAUAGCCCGGCGAAAGCCGGAUUAAUACCGCAUACGCUCUACGGAGGAAAGGGGGGGAUCUUAGGACCUCCCGCUACAGGGGCGGCCGAUGGCAGAUUAGCUAGUUGGUGGGGUAAAGGCCUACCAAGGCGACGAUCUGUAGCUGGUCUGAGAGGACGGCCAGCCACACUGGGACUGAGACACGGCCCAGACUCCUACGGGAGGCAGCAGUGGGGAAUUUUGGACAAUGGGCGAAAGCCUGAUCCAGCAAUGCCGCGUGUGUGAAGAAGGCCUUCGGGUUGUAAAGCACUUUUGUCCGGAAAGAAAAACGCCGUGGUUAA